CAGGGGUGUAGUGAUAAGACAAGGGAUAGUGGCUUUAAACUAACAGAGGGUAGAUUCAAAUUAGCUAUAUGGAAAAAGUUCUUUACUCAGAGGGCGCACUGGCACAGGCUGCCUAGAGAAGCUGUGGGUGCCCCAUCCCUGGAGGUGCUUAAGGCCAGACUGGAUGGGGAUUUGGGCAACCUGAUCCGGUUGAGAAUUGUCCCUGCCCAUGGCAGGGGGGUGGAAUUGAAUGGUCUGUAAGGUCCUUGCCUUACAGACCAUUUGAUGAUUCCACGAUUCUAUGAUUCCAUGAUGAUUCCAAACCAUUUGAUGAUUCCAUGAAAUUUAUCUUUGAUCCCUGUGUUUGCUGUCUACUUGUCUUUCAGCAGUGGUGGCUGGAGAAGGUUGGAGCAGGCUCUGCAUCAGAAGAGAACUGUGUAACCAUUCCUUCAUCUCAGGAAUACAUGGACAUCAAGAUAGCAUUAGAAACCUGCUAAUAACUAAUACUUCUCAUACAGAUUCAUAACCAUCUAAAUAUUGGAACAAAAAGCUCCACUUCUACAGACUGUAUAGGAAAUAUGUAAAAUAUGGUACUUAAACAAAUAUUUAGUCAGAGUUUCAGUGCUUUUUUUGUAUAACUAAUAUUUUUGGUUCAGUCACUUUUUCUCUUUACUUCUAAAACAGUGUGAGAGAUGCGAGAAUAUUGUGAAUCUCUAAUUUCUUUUAAAGUCAGGAGUUCUGAAUACAAAAUGCGUUUUCAACAUCACUCCAAGCAACUUUUUGUAUCUGAUUAACUGUGUGAUUCAAAUUACCAAAUCUUAAGAGCCUAAGUUUCCCGUCUAGUCAGUAGAGAGGUAAAUGCUUCCAGAGAACUAAUUAGAUCAACUAAGUAAACAGUAUGAAUGGUUCCCCAAUGUCAUCAGCUCAAUUAAUGAAGAAAAAUUGCUUUUCAAGAAAUAUGUUUCUGGACUGAUUUAUAAACUAAACAUUUAGUAUUUCCACUUUGUAGUUAUUCAUGAGGUUAAUUAUUUGUACCUCAGCAUAUGUUUUCUUCUAGACCUAGCAGGUAAGGUAGAGAAAGCAAUUUGAUAUUAAAAAACAACAACAACAAAAAAACAAAAAAACAACAACAACAACAACAACAAAAAAAAACACAGGAGAAAGAAACCUUGACUGAAACUAUUUAAAUGCACAGUAUGGGCACUGUGACCUUAUUCUCUUCUUGAUGAGAUCCAAGAUUGCUUUAUUAGUUAGACCUGAAAAUUAGUAGUUACGGGUACUUCAGAGAGCAUAAAUUUGUAGCACUGUUUUAAACUGCAAGUAAUGAGUAACUUCAUUUGGGAGUGCUUGGUAGUUUUAUCCUUAUUCAUUAAUUAGGGAAAGGAACCACUCUCCUGUCGACAUGAGUGCAAUCAGAAACAUAAUCCCCUAUGAAAAGCACUGGGAGGUGGAGGAGUAAAAACUCAGUGAAUCUGGAGCACAGCAUCUGGGUUGCCA
Molecule: long non-coding RNA, 1476 nt
Filed under: Anas platyrhynchos platyrhynchos (common mallard)
Lineage: Eukaryota; Metazoa; Chordata; Aves; Anseriformes; Anatidae
Description: lncRNA (ENSAPLG00000019132.1)
Source: RNAcentral